Passer domesticus (house sparrow) is the source of this 2809-nucleotide long non-coding RNA. RefSeq lists it as uncharacterized. The transcript is spliced from 7 exons. The record is from RefSeq and is a predicted model, not a curated record. Lineage: Eukaryota; Metazoa; Chordata; Aves; Passeriformes; Passeridae.
AGAGGCUGUGCAGUCUCCUCCCUGGGGAUAUUGCAGAGCCACAGGGACACUCUGCUGUACCCUGUGCUCUGGGAUGGCCCUGCUGGAGCAGGGAGGUGGCACCAGAGCAGCCCCUGUGGGCCCCUCCAGCCUCACCCAGCCUGGGUCUCUGUGAGUUCCCAUGGGGUGGUUUAGACUCCCCAUGUGGAGAGAGACCAGGCAGGAUUAAGUUAUUUCUGAUUAAGCUGAUUUAGCCCAGGGUGUCCUGUCUAAAAGCAUGGCCUGCUCUAGGUGAAGACAUGCAAAAGCACAAAUCCCAUUGUGUACAAUAUUCCUUACACAGAGGUGUGAAAAGGCAGCAAACAUCUCUCCACAUGGUGGACAAAGUGGAUUUAUUACCUAUAUAUCCUGACUGUUCAGCCUUUCCUUGGUGAAGGGUCUGUGCUGGAAAUGGGCUCCAUGCUGUGGAAGAUCCUGCUCUGGGCACUGAUCACUGAAGGCACUGAGGGAAAAAAAUAACAUUUGGCACACAAAGGCUAAAAUUUUCAUCCUUGAUCAUGACAUUUGAAAUGAGGACCUGCCUGCAGCUGUGGUGUGCUUCCAGCUUCCCAGUAACUCACCACUGUCCCUGCCCACCAGCAGGGACAUUGAAGAGUAAUUAGGAAGAAGAGAAAUGUGUCAUUCAUUUUCUAUCAAGGGGAGAAAAAGCCAUUUUCCAACAAAUUCCAAACAAUUCUAGAUCUGAGAAAAAGAAGAUACCUUUUGAUUCUUGGAAUCAAAGAGAGACAUCUCAGCAAAGCAGCAGGAAGAGAGGAAGAUCUGAAUCCUGGUUUAUGAACUUUUCCACCUAGAUCUCAAGAAUCACUGGGAUCUGCUCUUUGAACUGGGUUCUGCAGAAAGAAAGCUGCAGAUAUUGGACUUCAAAGCAAGAGAUAACGGAGAGAAAUAAAUGUUCCAAAUGGUGGAGUGUAUUCUGGCACUCAGACGUCACCAGAGUUCUCUGGAAAUGGUUUGAAUUGCUUGUCUUCCAGACAUUUGGCAGAAAUCACCAGGGGAUGUGGGGGUGUUACAUCUGUUCAUGGCUAAGGAUGGCCUUCAGAAGAUUUUUACUUGCCUUCUCAAAAUCAUUUGGAGUUACAUCUGCUUCUUUGCAAGGAUGUUCCUCAUCUGGUGGAAGAAUUCAUGCUGAAGCAAGAGACAGAAGCCUGGAGUAUUUAUUUAAUAUCAACAAGUAAUGCUGGAAAAACUGGACUGAGGAAAGAGUCUUCAGGGACAUUUGGAACACUGUGUGUACUUCAUACUUAAUUAUAUUCAACUGAAACACUUUGCAGUUGGUGUCUGUGAUAAAGCAAGUCCUUAAAGCUCUAAAUGUGGUGUAGAAACAAGGUAGGAAAACCAACCAGAAACUCACUGUAUCUAAGUGAUUGCAUAAUAAAUGUCUUGCUUUGAAAAAUUACAUAAAACCUCCAAUAUUUAUAUAUUUUAGAAGGGCUGAGCUAAAAGUUAAAAUUAUAUUAGAAGACACAUUUUUGGUUAAAACAUAUUAUUUGGACUAAUUUAAACUAGUUUUGUUUGAAGGUUGACUGCAACCUUAGGUAUAAUUAACCUCUUGGUCUCUGUAUUUGCAUCCCUGAGUUUCAAGAACUUGUGAAUGAGUUUCAUUUUCACUUUGAAGGAAGUUGUUCUAGAGGAGGCUCAUUGUAACUGGCACAUUGCUGCUGCCCACAUUUCUCUGAUAUUUCCUCAAAACAUGACUCACACAUAAUCAGAAUAGGCAGGGUGUCUUUAUUACUUUGGAUUGUUUUAGGGAAAGCAACAGAUGGUGGUAUUUGAGCUGUCCAGAUAUAGAAAACAUGCCCUUGUACCAUCAGGCUGUCUUCACAUCUUGUUUGCCUUUUUACAGACAUAAUUCAAAGUAAUUAGGCAAGUAUUUAAGGUCCUGCCUAAGAAGCAAAGUGGAUCAAUAAUGUGUGCCUGAAGUUAUCCAUCUGGUUGGAAGCUUCCUGAAGUCAAUAAUUAUAUGGAUAAACCCUUCCACUUUUGACAGAAGAUGAGUCUUUAUCUUCUGCAUCUGUUUUAAUCUCUCUGGAUUUAGCACCAGGCAGGACUAACACUACUUAUUUAGGGAAGGAAAUUUAAGCUUUAGAAAGUUCUGCUCUGAGGAAAUGAAAGCUGUCUCAUUCUCAUUAAUACACAUUCCAUUUCCUUUUUCUCUGCUAUUGCUCUUAUUUCUCCUUAAAAUUUCUCUGAAUAAAAGAAAAUUUAAAAAGCAUAUAUUCUUGCUUAUGACAAUAGGAAAAACUGUGUUGAAUCAAAUAUUCUUGGGUUUGGGAAGUUUCUUGGCUGAUAAAAGGUGCUCACAUUAAUCACAUCUGUUAUACAGUGUGAGGGCAUAGAGGCAUGUAGGAAGUAGAUCUUAAUUCUACUUUAUGUUUAUGCAGAUGAAUUGUACCAAAGCAGAAAUUGUAGAGGAACACAAAUUAAUUCUUCAUUUGUUAUUGUAUCACUCUUGUAACAAGCUGAGGUGAGAGAUCAGAGUAGCACAAUUCAGAUUUAUUUACAGUCUCCUCACUUUAUCACUUAGGAAUACAAUAAAUAGAAUUGGGGGUGGGGGGCAUUGUAUAAACCACAGUUUGAAACACUUGUAAUAAAGUUCCUUUUUUCUUAUGUCAUGCUGUGAAUGAAAGUCUGCCAAGAGUGGUAAGAAAGUUCUGUUCAUCAGAAUCUGUUGACACAGUAUUUUAUAAAAAGUGUAGUCAUGGAUAAGAGUCAUGGGAGUUUUGGGUUGUUGUCGAUUAUAUGUCAUACAAAUAAAUAAUCUGUGGUGGUA